Molecule: long non-coding RNA, 1000 nt
Organism: Dreissena polymorpha
Lineage: Eukaryota; Metazoa; Mollusca; Bivalvia; Myida; Dreissenidae
Exons: 3
Source: RefSeq, a predicted model, not a curated record
AGUAGUAGUAGUAGUAGUAGUAGUAGUAGUAGUAGUAGUAGUAGUAGUAGUAGUAGUAGUUGUUGUUGUUGUUGUUGUGGCUGUUGUAAUAGUAGUAGUAGUUUUGCAGAAGUAGUAGUAGUAGUAGUAGUACUAGUAGUAGAAGUAAUAGUAGUAACUUUCAAAGCUAUGUCUACAAGUUUAAAUUCUUUAACCCUGUUCAAGGUGUAUACACACUCAAUAUUUAACUACAGUCCAGGUUUGCAAUUAACAAACUAUCUGAUAAACCUGUGUGUGAGUCAGAUAUGUCUGCUGCUAAUCUAUUGGUUAUAAAAUAUCACAGCCUUUUCUGAUUGGCUGAGUUCAAAUACAGAAAGUUUACCUGUUAGAUUGAAAUUCUGGCGUAUUGUAGAAAAAUUGCAGGUUAAACUUGUUGUUAAAAUGAAGUUAAUGUAAUGUUCACAAACAGUAGAGUUAAUGAGUUUUUCCAUUAACAAGAAUUUCUUAAAAUAAUAAUGUAUGGAUAUCAUUUGGAAAGUGACAUGAAAUGUUGUUAAAAAGUGAUGCAUACAAGUGUUUCAGAAGUCUGUCUAGGAAUAGAACAACAACUGAAGCUGACCAGUUGAUGGAAGAUACUGCAGAGUUUGGCAGGGAAAUAACCCAAGACAGCAAAGCGGCUCUUUUGGCGCAUUUACCAAGAGGACUAACAUGGCCACAAAUUCAUGAGAUCAUGCAGGAGCCGUACAGUAUAACAGCAGUACAAGUUCUAUAAAAGAUCCACCACCUACUGAAGCCCAGCUAAUUAACAAAAAAGUUUUUAAAAACUGUAAUUUUAUCCCACCUGGGUACUUAUAAUUUACUAAGCUGCCUUCACAAGUUUUAGACUUGCAAUUAUAUUUUAAACUGUCACUUGGAAAGUAAUACAUGUACAUGCAUUAUGUUCUGAAUUUCUUUGAACAAUAAAAUUAUAUAAAAGUAUUUUAAUGAAAUUGAGCACCUAAAUUGCAUUAAAGUGAAAGUA